Long non-coding RNA from Oncorhynchus keta (chum salmon), 1320 nucleotides. RefSeq lists it as uncharacterized. The record is from RefSeq and is a predicted model, not a curated record. NCBI's taxonomy places the organism in Eukaryota, Metazoa, Chordata, Actinopteri, Salmoniformes, Salmonidae. The transcript has 3 exons.
UUAAUAACAGAACCUUAUGUAUGUUAACUCUUUAUGCCUUUUUAAUAAUGCUAUUAUUAAGAUCCAAUAACAGCCCUAUGGGCCCUGAUCAAAGGUAGUGCACUUUUGAAACAUAUGUGUCUGAGGCUCAGGUUACAGCUGGAACGUAGUGUCUGGGGAUCAGGUUACAGCUGGAACAUAGUGUCUGGGGAUCAGGUUACAGCUGGAACGUAGUGUCUGGGGAUCAGGUUACAGCUGGAACAUAGUGUCUGGGGAUCAGGUUACAGCUGGAACGUAGUGUCUGGGGAUCAGGUUACAGCUGGAACGUAGUGUCUGGGGAUCAGGUUACAGCUGGAACGUAGUGUCUGGGGAUCAGGUUACAGCUGGAACGUAGUGUCUGGGGAUCAGGUUACAGCUGGAACGUAGUGUCUGGGGAUCAGGUUACAGCUGGAACGUAGUGUCUGGGGAUCAGGUUACAGCUGGAACGUAGUGUCUGGGGAUCAGGUUACAGCUGGAACGUAGUGUCUGGGGAUCAGGUUACAGCUGGAACGUAGUGUCUGGGGAUCAGGUUACAGCUGGAACGUAGUGUCUGGGGAUCAGGUUACAGCUGGAACAUAGUGUCUGGGGAUCAGGUUACAGCUGGAACGUAGUGUCUGGGGAUCAGGUUACAGCUGGAACGUAGUGUCUGGGGAUCAGGUUACAGCUGGAACAUAGUGUCUGGGGAUCAGGUUACAGCUGGAACAUAGUGUCUGGGGAUCAGGUUACAGCUGGAACAUAGUGUCUGGGGAUCAGGUUACAGCUGGAACAUAGUGUCUGGGGAUCAGGUUACAGCUGGAACGUAGUGUCUGGGGAUCAGGUUACAGCUGGAACAUAGUGUCUGGGGAUCAGGUUACAGCUGGAACGUAGUGUCUGGGGAUCAGGUUACAGCUGGAACGUGAUUUUAUUUGUCACAUACACAUGGUUAGCAGAUGUUAAUGCGAGUGUAGCGAAAUGCUUGUGCUUCUAGUUCCGACAAUGCAGUAAUAACCAACGAGUAAUCUAACCUAACAUUUCCACAACAACUACCUUAUACAUACAAGUGUAAAGGGAUGAAGAAUAUGUACAUAAUGAUAUAUGAAUGAGUGAUGGUACAGAACGGCAUAAGCAAGAUGCAGUAGAUGGUAUCGAGUACAGUAUAUACAUAUGAGAUGAGUAAUGUAGGGUAUGUAAACAUUAUAUUCAAUGGCAGUGAUACAUUUAUUACAUAAAGAUGGCAAGAUGCAGUGGAUGGUAUAGAGUACAGUAUAUACAUAUGAGAUGAGUAAUGUAGGCUAUGUAAACAUUAUAUUAAAUGGCAUUGUU